Molecule: long non-coding RNA, 436 nt
Organism: Mus musculus (house mouse)
Lineage: Eukaryota; Metazoa; Chordata; Mammalia; Rodentia; Muridae
Product: predicted gene, 34118
Exons: 3
Source: RefSeq, a predicted model, not a curated record
CGACGGUGCGUCCAAGCACAACCUUGAGAGUGGUCACUGCUCCAGCUGCUGGGCUCUGUCUACUGUAACUGCUUUAAGAAAGUAAUGGGAUGAGGAAGUUGGAGUGGUGUUCAACGUCCUAGGUUCUGUAGCCUUCACCCAAUCAAGCUCUUGUCUUCCAUCAAUGUUUGCUGUGAAGCUCUUGUGCAGAUUGGCCUGAACCUGCCCAGCCCGGGGAGAACCGAUGUUGGCUCCACGGGAAAGGUCAGUCAAGAGUGACUGGAGUCACAGAUAGAGAUAAAGGUGUACUCCCCACUGACAGAGGACUCCUCCUGCCACACAUCAGGCCCUAGGCACAAAGAGCAACUCAUCCCACUCACAGAAAGACCGAGUCCUUCAAGAAUUCCAGUCCCGAAGGGCAGUGGUGGCGCACGCCUUUAAUCCCAGUACUUGGGAG